Long non-coding RNA from Passer domesticus (house sparrow), 296 nucleotides. RefSeq lists it as uncharacterized. The transcript has 3 exons. The record is from RefSeq and is a predicted model, not a curated record. Lineage: Eukaryota; Metazoa; Chordata; Aves; Passeriformes; Passeridae.
GUGUGAGCCAGGCAAAAUGAACAGUUUGAAGAUGCCAAAUCCUGCCUGGAGCUUUUGGGACCAAGACUGUUGCAUCAGCCACUUGGAAGCCAGGGAAAUUCAGGUGCUGGAAAAGUGAAGACCCAAUCAGGAACAUCAUUCUCUGGCCCUUCUGGGAUGAGCCAGUGGAGGACACCCCCAGAAGCUGGAGUCCUUCCUUCCCAUACCUGUGUGCCAAAAUUGAAGCAGUGCUGCAGGAGCUGACAUGAACAUCUGGACUAAUCAACUAAGGGAGAAAGAAUAUUUUUACAAGUGUC